Argiope bruennichi is the source of this 3187-nucleotide long non-coding RNA. RefSeq lists it as uncharacterized. The record is from RefSeq and is a predicted model, not a curated record. The transcript is spliced from 2 exons. NCBI's taxonomy places the organism in Eukaryota, Metazoa, Arthropoda, Arachnida, Araneae, Araneidae.
UCUUGUUCAGAUUAGAAACGGUUGUUAUGGACGACGAACGUUUCAAGAUCACUGGAAAAACCUGCUUGGAUGAUAUUUUAAAAGCAUGACACAACUAAAAGAAUGAAUAUUAUUAAUAAUCUCUUGACAAUUACAGAUUUCCAUGGCCGGCGUCCUGGCAUAGGGGUAGUGCAUCUUCCUCAUGAUCAGGCCGUCCCUGGUUCGAGUCCCGGUUCGGGCAUGGUUGCUUGGUGCAAGCGAAUGUGCGUGAGUUUAAUGAGCUAGAAGUCAGAUCUCUGCCCUCAGGUGCUCAGGUGUCCUUACCCUCAGAAGCUACUGCACUCCCUUUCCGUGGUAACACGACAUCAACAGCUAUUACAAAUUCAAAGAUAAAAUUCUGGUUGUAUGCUUAUAUUUGAUUACAAAAAAAAUUAUAUAUGAAUAUCACUUGUUUUAUGUUCGAAUGAAUGUAUGCUUAUGCAUAAACUAAUGAGAAGUACUAACAAUUUUGCUGAAAUAAUUUCAUAUAUUUGUAAUUUAAUAAUAUAUAAGUGCUCGCCCCUUUUUAGCAAUAAAGAAAUCAGUUUUUACAUAUCUGUAAUUUAAUAAUAUAUAACUUCUCAUCUUUUUUUAAUGUUAGAAACCAUCUAAAUUUGAGACUAAACCAGUAGAAGUGCUCCAAGCUUUUCUCGCAUAUUCUUUAUUAUCACCAUGCGCAUAAAAUUGUGGAUCAUGGGCAAAUCCAUGAGUGUCACCAGUGCUCCGACGUUUAUUUUCACACAUGAGAUCUGUGUGUUUUAGAGUACAGUAUGAUACUGAUAUACAAUAUACAUUCAUGCCAAAAAACGAAAGAUCAUUCUUUGGCGAGAAUGUAGAGUUUUUUACUGAAUCUAGUCUGAGAUUCUUGGCGAUUAUGGGGGGAUUAAUUACUUGCAAUAAAUACACAAGACAAACAAUUAAUACACAAGUAUCAGAAAAUUAGUGUAUUUGGAGGACUUUUUUUCUGAUAGACUGGAAUCAGAAUGGGACAUACUGCUAAAAUUAUAGCCAUGAGAUCCAAUAGACAAAUUUCUUAUAUAAAAGUCAUUGCGUUUACAUGUAUACAGAAGAACAUAUCGACAAACAGUCAAUUGUUUGACAAAUUUAGUUCGAAAUUUGAUAAAAAACCACAUUUGAGAUGCUAAAAAUAUACAUCAAAUUUUACUUUUCUAGUUUUGUUGUUAUAUUGUUCACUAGUACUUGGACAUAACAUAACGCCAUCCUGUGCCUCGGUGCCUAUAACACUAAGUUAUCUAAUCAGUUGGAUGAGCACAAGAUGGAAGGAAGAAAAAAAAGGGGAGAUAAAUAAAAGAAAAUAUAGAAUAAUAAUAGUCCGUCUGGGUCCUGUGUUUUGAUUUACUUCGUGAGAACUGCACUUUUGAAUGAAUAAUUUAAUUGAUUUUGACAAGUGGCAUUUUGGUCUCAGAUAUUGUGUAUUACUUGUACUUGUGCUAGUACUUGGACAGCUGGACAGACAGACUUCUCCAGAAUAAAUGUCAUCCAAAAUUUGUCGGAUAUCUACAAAUGGUGUACAGAUCACAUAUCAAAUUUCAUAAGUUUAUUUCAAAGAUUUUUGAAUUAUCAUGUGCGCAGACAGAUCACCAUAAUUCUUCAAAUGUAUUUUUCGCGGAGAUUUAUUAAAAUCUAGAGUUUAAAUUUUUUGACAAUUACAAUACUUUUUCAAUGUAUAUUUCGUAUACAAAAAAGUUAAAAAGAGUUCAUCGUAUAUAUUUGUUUCUGAGAGCUAAAGCAUGUUACAUUAUUUAUUUUCUCACCAUAACUUUCUAAUAUAAUUCAGAAAAUAUGUUACAAUUGUGUUUUAGGGUGUUAUUACAUAGUUAAUUCAUUUCAUUCUUUUAUGUCCAGCAAUUAUGUAUAUUUAAGAAAAGAAUUCAAUUUGUCUUCAAUAAUUUCUUUGAAUUAUUUGUCAAAUUCAAUAACUUCUUUUUAACAUAGCAUAUUUUCAAAAAUAUCCCCACUCCCACUUUCGGCUCCAACUAAAGUAUCUGCACUUUUAAUUGAAUGAAUACAGCGAGCUAUUGAUUUUUCCAGUUGAUGUCUAAUUACCGUAAUUUUAAUUAUCCGGCAUCGAUCUAGCCAAACCAAUAACACCGAGAAGCCCCAAACGUUGUUUGAUUUAAAGCCCCAAACGUUUGGAUUUUCCCGAUUUUUCUACGAUUUCAGUUUUCAAUCGAGAAUGUUCGCGGCCCUUUUCAAGUUGUUUUAUGGAUUAGAUAACCUAUAAUAGUACCAUAGAUUAUUUUAAUUUACAAUACAUAUAAUGACUUCUGUAAUAAAUUUUAUUUUGCAUUAGCCACCUAUGGAAAACAAUCGAUGCGUCAGAAUUACAAUUUAUACAAAAUUCCAAAUGAAUUUUUUGCAGACAAGUCAGCCGUAAUGGCUACUUCAUCAGAGCAUUUUUUUUGUAAAAUUUUACUAGUUGUGUACUAGUACUAUACUAUACUAUUAUAGUACUAGUAUAGUAUACACAAAUUCAGACGCGUGUAUACUUUCCUUUAUUAAUAGUAAAAAUAGAAAUUAUUGUCUAAAACUGAACUGUACUAAAUUUGAAUGUUGUUUAUUACACAAUUCAAUUUCUUUUAGUCUUCAUAUGCAGGCCGCGGUGGCCUGGUGGUAAGGUCUCGGCUUCGGAACCGGAGGGUUUCAGAUUUGAGACUCGAUUCCACCGAACCAUCGUGUAAGCGGGUCUUGUGCACGUUAAACAUCCGGGCCCAAGGUCCUCCCCCUGGUGUGGUGUGGAGAGCGGGUGCCAGUUCAGGUGUCGUCCUCGUCAUCUGACCACCGUUCAAAAUGACGAGGUCUGUCCCAAAAUAGCCCUAGGGUUGUUUUAAAACGGGGCGUUAAUAUAACUAAACUAAACUAACUUUAGUCUUCAUAUAUAACUAUUAAUACAUUGUGCGAUAUUAAUCAUAAUAUUUUUCUUCAAGAACAUUUGUUUUUCUUUCCAGAUACAAGCAUUCCAUGUUCGAUCAAACACUUCCAUUUCAAAAUGUCCCUAUUUUCAAAAACAUCACCUAACAUGUUCCUUCCAGUCAGUUUAUUGACCCCAUUUAUAAGUGUCUUCAUGCCUUCAAUCAAAUUUAUAAAUUGUACUAAAUUUCAUGCUUUAUUUAAAAUCCACUUAAAUAAAGUUUCUAUUUUAACUGUU